UACGAAGGUGGCAAGCGUUGUUCGGAUUUACUGGGCGUACAGGGAGCGUAGGCGGUUGGAUAAGCCCUCCGUGAAAUCUCCAGGCUUAACCUGGAAAGUGCAGAGGGGACUGUUCAGCUAGAGGAUGGGAGAGGAGCGCGGAAUUCCCGGUGUAGCGGUGAAAUGCGUAGAGAUCGGGAGGAAGGCCGGUGGCGAAGGCGGCGCUCUGGAACAUUUCUGACGCUGAGGCUCGAAAGCGUGGGGAGCAGACAGG
RNAcentral lists this ribosomal RNA (253 nucleotides) under uncultured bacterium. Its description in RNAcentral is "partial 16S ribosomal RNA". It matches the Rfam family "Bacterial small subunit ribosomal RNA", at positions 524 to 776 of the family's 1533-position model. The record is from RNAcentral.